CAUGCUACCACUGAGCUCUAUCUCCAGCCCUUAGCUGAACAUUUUCAAGAGUAUUCUCUAAAACUUGUUUACUGGGGCGGGGGUGGACUGAAGAGAGUUGGCUAAGCAGUUAAGAUCACUUGUGGCUCUUGCAACAGGUCACAGUUUUGGUUCCCAGAACCUGGGGACCAGAUGGCUGUUACCCAUGAUUCCAGUUCCGAGGGAUCCAACACCAUCUUCUGACUUCUGAAGGUGCUGAGGAUUGAACACACAGCCUUACACAUGGGCUCAAGCUGAACUCUGCUCAACUAAGCUCCACAUAUAUCCUCCCUCUACAACCCAAGACAAGGGAGCAGAUCCUCUCUGAAAUAGCCUAACUUCAUUGCAGAGGCCCAGAACAGAACAACAGUCACUCAUGUGCACAGUGUAUGGAUGGCUUAAGCUGCCUCCUGUGCACCACACCUCUCCACAGCAGCAGACUUCCUUUAGGUGAUUGCUGUACCAAAAUAUUGCACUGUUUAAAAUAACCCCGGACUUUCGAAUUAUAACCUGUUUUUAUGUUCAAGCUAUCUGUGUAUUAUUUCUCCUGCAGUUGUACAUAAAAUGUUUUUACAUUUUAAAAAAAGGGCAAAUACUAUAGAAUUGUAUUACAUGAAAUAUACAGAAUAUACAAAUUCAUAGAGACAGAAAGAUUAGAUGUUAUCUCAAGAUGGAGAAGAAAGGAAUAUAGAGCAAUGAUUUCCUAAGUACAGAAUCUGUUUUGUGUGAUGGAAAAGCCCCACAAAUGGACAGUAGUAUCAGGACAUAAUAUCAUGAAUGUAAUAAAUCAAUAUAAUUAAUGUAAUUAAUGAAUAUCAUAAAUAUAAUUAUUGAAUGAAUACUGAGAAUGUAAUCAAUGAAUACCACAAAUGUAAUUAAUAUCACGAGUGUAAUUAAUGAAUAUCAUGAGUGUAAUUAAA
Molecule: long non-coding RNA, 938 nt
Organism: Peromyscus eremicus (cactus mouse)
Lineage: Eukaryota; Metazoa; Chordata; Mammalia; Rodentia; Cricetidae
Exons: 4
Source: RefSeq, a predicted model, not a curated record